AUGUCAACUAGAGAUAUAAUUGCAGCAUUACAUAGGAAGAAGCCAAGGCCUUGUUGGACGACAUUUUUCUAUGGCCACCAGUUACACUAUUCUGAACAGUCAGAUUCAGUUACAAAUGUUUUUCAGAACCAGCACAGAACUGAAUAUUCUAUUGGAAGAGUCAUUCUUGAGGAUUUCCAGUGGGCACCUGCUUGGUCCUUUUCCAUGGAGUGUUUGCUAUUUGGAGAUGAAUGUUCGUUUGAAGCUCUGUUGGGCUGCCACAUCUAUAGUGCGUGUUUGUUGGAUAAAAGCAUGGGGAUCACUCUAGGAAGCGAUGCAAGCUGCGGUGAAUGCAUAAUAAUCAGUCCUUGCCGUCCCCAAUUUCAACCCGAACAAUGUGAAGGUACUUGUUUCUAUAGCUUUCGUGUUGUAGUUUUUUCACGAAUUGUUCCUGCGAUGAGGCUUGCAUACUUUGAGAGGCCUGGAAUGGGGCUAUAUCAGGAAUAUAUGCAGCUGAUUGGUAUGAUUGGGAGGCAGGUUCCUGCUCUUGAUUUAUGGGCUACCAGAAUUGUGUUCCAGCCAAGGAAAACAGAGGGCGUGCAGCCUAGCGCAUAUUCCUUCUAUUUGGAAAUUUCCAUUCAACACCGCCCAUGUUUUCAACGAACAAGUUUCCAGUUCAGGAGGUGUGCUACUCUGAACCUCUUAACCACAAGCUUGGUAAUGGUAGUGGCCUUUCCACCGGUAUUUGAAGAGGGACAGACAAGUGCCAUGCUCUGUAUGGACCAGAUGAUGAUGAAAACUGGGCAUGUUAUUCAAUGUGGUCUGGAGUAUGUCCAAUGGGAGAUUGCACGGUCACUUAACUUGAAGUACAUGGAUAUCAUCAAACAGUCCAAGCAACAAAUUCUUGCCGCAACAUACCCUGAGUUGUAUUUUCCAUGGGAUCCAGGCGAUGUCGUACCACAACAUAUCCUGCUUACAACCAGACCAUGGGCUCUGGCAUCAGCCAAUCGACAUGUUGCUAGGAUCUCCUCUUAUGUGCCUGUUCUUGGGGGAGAAUUCUUUGCUCCAUGGAAUAAUGGUAGCUGCAACAGGGGGAGCUGUCAUUGCAGAGUGCUAGUCUAUCUUCACAUGGACGAGUUCAGUUGCCUAAGAAUACAGUAUCCUAACGGCAGAAGGCUCGUUGGGGAAGAGUGUUCCUAUGGAAGAUUUCCUGGCCAAUGGUUCUGGAGCACUCUACUAUUGACAAGACACCUAAUUCAUGUAGAAACACUGAGGUCCUUCGCACAAGCUAAAGCUACAGCAGGGAUGAAGGUUGAAGCUCCAACCUUCUAUUGCGUCUGCUACCUUGGCCAAGACCCCGACGGCCACAACUACUACAUCGUCCUCAUUCAAGUGCAUCCCGUCAUUCGACUACGGCUACCACGACGAGCCCAUUACCACCAGCAAAAUUCAAGUUCCAUGGGAUCCUGGUGGUUCAACAUGGCGUCGGCUUGA
This 1473-nucleotide ribosomal RNA is filed under the name Triticum aestivum (bread wheat). RNAcentral describes it as "partial small subunit ribosomal RNA". Lineage: Eukaryota; Viridiplantae; Streptophyta; Magnoliopsida; Poales; Poaceae. The record is from RNAcentral.